This 253-nucleotide ribosomal RNA is filed under the name uncultured bacterium. RNAcentral describes it as "partial 16S ribosomal RNA". It matches the Rfam family "Bacterial small subunit ribosomal RNA", at positions 524 to 776 of the family's 1533-position model. The record is from RNAcentral.
UACGUAGGGUGCAAGCGUUGUCCGGAAUUAUUGGGCGUAAAGAGCUCGUAGGCGGUCUGUCGCGUCGGAUGUGAAAAUCCAGGGCUCAACCCUGGAAUGCCGGUGGAAACUGUCAGGCUCGAGUCCGGAAGAGGCGAGUGGAAUUCCCGGUGUAGCGGUGAAAUGCGCAGAUAUCAGGAGGAACACCAAUGGCGAAGGCAGCUCGCUGGGACGGUACUGACGCUGAGACGCGAAAGCGUGGGGAGCAAACAGG